Molecule: long non-coding RNA, 565 nt
Filed under: Rattus norvegicus (Norway rat)
Lineage: Eukaryota; Metazoa; Chordata; Mammalia; Rodentia; Muridae
Description: long non-coding RNA NONRATT019745
Source: RNAcentral
CUUGAAAAUAAGGUAAUUUUGGAAGUUACAAGAAAACAGUACUACUAGGUAAGAUCUUUUCAGCCACCAAACUAGCACUAGGCUCAGGCGUUAACCUGAGUGUGCAUUGAAUACUUAGGGUGCUAGUCAGGAAGAAUUUGUCACUGAAUGUCCUUUGAGUUAGUGCAGAUUCAAGAUGGAGGUGAAAGCAGUUCAGAAUGCUAGUUCCAUAACUAAGCCACAUCUUCCUAGGGCAGUUCUCUGUAUGUUGCUCAUGCACAUGAAGAAACAAAUUAGUGAAUUUGCUCUUAAAAGUCCACUCAUAACAAGCAUGGGCAGAUGUGAAAGUUGAAGGAAACUUUAUUCCUCCUUGAGAACAAAAAAUUCAUUCUCUCCAACCUUAAUAUCUCAAAAUAAGACCUCUCUAAAGUAAGAGCUUUUAAACCAAGUGCUAAGGUACAUAUAUAUGUUUAUAGUCCUGACUACCACCUGAGGAUUACUGGAAGUUGAGUUCACCCUAGGAAUGUAAAAAGAUCUUACCUCAAAGAAAAAGAAUAAAUGCCAACAAACAUGCAUCUUAAUGUCA